Long non-coding RNA from Paramacrobiotus metropolitanus, 1101 nucleotides. RefSeq lists it as uncharacterized. Lineage: Eukaryota; Metazoa; Tardigrada; Eutardigrada; Parachela; Macrobiotidae. The transcript is spliced from 4 exons. The record is from RefSeq and is a predicted model, not a curated record.
ACUCUUAAUAUUGUUGUAAUGACUCUUAAUAUGUAAAACAAUGUGUAGUGGUGCAGUAAGCUCAAUAAAGUGCAUUGACAAGUAAUGCUUCUAGGAUGUUAGGCUAGCAUACCCGGCAUAAUCAGAUAUCAGAUGAUUUGACAAUCAUGAAACAGUUUAACAAUGUACGUAGCCGCUUUUUUGCCAUUAUAUUAGAUUUUUUCACAGCGUACAAGUCGCCGUUUUCGCGUAGGACUUUUAUGCGACGCUACUUGCAGUUCUGCAGUUUUGUCUUCACGGUCAUGAUAAUUUUGGAUCUCCUUUUGACAUUUGCGACAUUACGCGGAAUUAUACUAAGAACCCACUGUGUUUGUCCUCCGAUGAGAAAAAUUUAUUGCUCGCUUUGAUAUUGCUCCCAUUCGGAUUUGCGAUGAUGAGGAUCCUCAAGGGCAAAACAUCGACAGAAGUGCUGCUUAAGGGAUUUGGCCCGGUACAUAGCACCAAAUUCGUGCACAUACACGGGAAUAUUCGCUUUCGCGCACUUCCAAUCACUUUUGUGGAGACACCGAAACGUCGUGGAACUGCUUGGAGGUCUACGAUAUAGCUGGGAACACGUGGCUUAAGAAAAGUAAUACGAAUUUUGAAACGCAGUAUGGCCGGACGUGGAAGCUUUGCCUGGAAGGUUUACGUUCUUGGUGGCAUGACCGAGAAGAGCCCCGACGGGUGCGGUUCGAUUGAGUGGUAUAACGAAGCCACCGAUACGUGGACACUGCAUGAUUGCCGACUGCCAAAGAACAUCAAGGCUUUCGGUUGUGUGAUGACGCGGAUGAAGAAAAAGGACAACGGUAAUUCCGGCUCAUCCGAUCUCGAGGUCGGGUUGAUCAUGAUGAUGGAAUGGACGUGGCCACAAUACGAACCAUGGAUAAUUUCGGCGAUUGAAGUCCAGAUUUAUACUGCUUACGUUUUUUUAUAGCGAUAGUGAUAGCCAUUUUCAUACUGCUUGUUUUGUUUAGCUGCUUGACGUAGUUUGCUACGUAACAAAGAUUGGAACUAGUGUCUUUAUGCAAAUCCGUGUUUUUACCUUAUACAAAGUACGUUCUAAAAGAUUCUCUCCCUUUUUUU